UACAGAGGUCCCGAGCGUUAUUCGGAUUUAUUGGGCGUAAAGGGUGCGUAGGCGGCGGAGUAAGUUGGGUGUGAAAUCCCGAGGCUCAACCUCGGAAUUGCAUUCAAUACUGCUUCGCUCGAGUACUGGAGAGGAGGCUGGAAUUUACGGUGUAGCAGUGAAAUGCGUAGAUAUCGUAAGGAAGGCCGGUGGCGAAAGCGAGCCUCUGGACAGUUACUGACGCUGAUGCACGAAGGCCAGGGGAGCAAACGGG
RNAcentral lists this ribosomal RNA (253 nucleotides) under uncultured bacterium. RNAcentral's name for it is "partial 16S ribosomal RNA". It matches the Rfam family "Bacterial small subunit ribosomal RNA", at positions 524 to 776 of the family's 1533-position model. The record is from RNAcentral.